GACGAACGCUGGCGGCGUGCUUAACACAUGCAAGUCGAACGGAAAGGCCCUGCUUUUGUGGGGUGCUCGAGUGGCGAACGGGUGAGUAACACGUGAGUAACCUGCCCUUGACUUUGGGAUAACUUCAGGAAACUGGGGCUCAUACCGGAUAGGAGCUCCUGCUGCAUGGUGGGGGUUGGAAAGUUUCGGCGGUUGGGGAUGGACUCGCGGCUUAUCAGCUUGUUGGUGGGGUAGUGGCUUACCAAGGCUUUGACGGGUAGCCGGCCUGAGAGGGUGACCGGCCACAGUGGGUCUGAGAGACGGCCCAGACUGCUACGGGAGGCAGGAGCGAGGAAUAUUGCACAAUGGGCGGAAGCCUGAUUCAGCCACGCCGCGUGCGGGAGGACGGCAUUCGGGUUGUAAACCGCUUUCGCCUGUGACGAAGCGUGAGUGACGGUAAUGGGUAAAGAAGCACCGGCUAACUACGUG
RNAcentral lists this ribosomal RNA (468 nucleotides) under uncultured bacterium. RNAcentral's name for it is "partial 16S ribosomal RNA". It matches the Rfam family "Bacterial small subunit ribosomal RNA", at positions 28 to 507 of the family's 1533-position model. The record is from RNAcentral.